CCACGGCCCUCGCCGCUGGCGCGCGUCCCACCACCACCACCUCCCAUAGCUAUCGUUGCCCCCCUUCGCCGGAGCGCCCCCCGCCACCACCACCUCCUAACGCCACCAGCACCACCUCCUCAUCCCCGUCUUCCUUCCCGCGCUCCGGCCGUCUUCCUCCCCGCAAUCCGUCCGCCUCCCUCCCCGCGCUCCGUCCACCUUCCUCCCCGAGAUCCGUCCGCCUUCUCCCCUGAUAUCCCAUGGCUGUACGGCCGUCGGCCAACCCCUCCAUCUGUAACUAAGGGCAUUGGGCCGCCCUCCAUGCCGGGGUGGCCCUGCUAGCCAUCAGCGGGGGAAGCGGAGUGGCUUCCAUGGAGGGGGUGCGGACGAGUUCGUCCUAGGCGUGCACAUCCUCGGGAAGUCCAUCUGCAAUAUGGGCACCUCGCUGAGAUCUCAUAGUGCUCGUCCCAGACUACUCUCCGAAGCCACUCGAGGUGGAGAAUACAUAGCAGGAUCUGCCCCAGCAAAUUAACCACAUGUCGCCGGAGGCACUCUGCCUCUCCUAUGCACCCCCUGCUUCCAUGUCCCUCCACCACCGCCCUCCCUUAACCCUCUGCAGUUAUUGGCAACGCGGAUGUGGCCCCGCACUGUAUGGACGCGCCGCUAUCGCUCUGUCAUCGCGUACAGAGAGUUCAACGCCGCAACCCCCCUCCGUUCAAUCUCGCCGCCAUGGGUGUGCCCCACUCAACUCCCUCGCCUGUGCUUCCGUGGCGUAACAAUGCAACCUGCAGGAGGAACCGUGGGGGGUCGAGGACGUCCAGCUCGGCAGUCCAACUCGGCAUGAUUCACGUCAUCGUUGGCCCCAUGUUCGCUGGCAAGAUCACCUUGCUUCUCCGCCGGCACCGUUAGGUACUCACCCCGUCCCGUCUAUUGCUUAGUGCUUCGUUUUGCGUUGCUAAAAACAAAAAACAAGGAAGUUCAAAUUGAAAAUAAUGAGAAGUUAGACGUUUAAAAAAAUCAGAAGUUAUUUUAGUGAAUCUCUAUUGAAAAUUAGCUCACGUUUUAGUGUAUCAGAAGUGGUUUGUACUUUUUUGCUUGACGCGUGUUCAUGAGCAGUUCAAAACAUGUACUUGUUCCAUGGUUUGCUAUAACACUUGUUAGAUUGCUCUCCAAAAAAAGUCAUGUAUUCAUGAAUUUGCUACUGGUGUAGCAGCCCUGUAUGUAUUUUAUCAUCAGUUCAUAAAGAAAAGCUGAAACAGUGUAGUGUGCGUGUUAAAAAAAUAAUUCAGUUUUAUAUUGUUUGGUAGUUUUCACUUCAUAGAAAAUUUCUAACAGUUCGGUCAAAAUAAAGUUUGCAUAGUUUAUACUCGAGAGGUAGUAAUGUUCAAUGACAGAAAAACAUCAGUUCAAAUAUAUAUGCAGGAGGUUGAGAGCCGAAAAACUGAUUUUUUAUGUGUUUAAUUUUUCAGCUGUAAAGAUAGAAAUUUUUCUCUCUUGUCUCUCUUGGUUCUCAGGAAAAUUGGGCUGGGAGUCAACAAGCCGGGCAAAAAUGUGUUGCUACUUCUACAAUAUCAAAGAUGAUGAGAUUCUAGUCUUGCUCGUCGAGGACCCAAUCACAGGGCAGUCUGUCGCUACUGCAAUGCAUUAGGAAAAGUUCAAGUUUCCUAUUAGAUUUAGUUCUAUUGGAAAAGGGCUGCCCUCACCGUGCUUAUCCCCGUCACCGGAGGGCCUGCGUGCCGGGGUUGAGCCACAGUCGACACUUCCGGUCGUGCCCUACCACUAAUCAAUCUUCUCGCCUAACCCCCUUCCUCCCCGAUCUGCUACUGAUAUACCCCAACUACCACUAGAGCUUCGGGGAGCACUCCUCCGUCCAAGUUGAGCAUUGGGUCCCGUCCGAGUAGAGCACUGCACCCCGUCCAAGUCCCCAUCUAAUUUUGAACGUUCAAUUUUGUCAUGUUGGAAUAAUAUAGCAUUGAGCACCCUACAUUUUUUUUUGCUUGAGCGUUGAGCAAACAGUGGAGCCUGCUGGAGGAGUCAUGGGGUCGAGGACCUCCUGUUCAACAGUACAACUUCUUGUUUCGUGGCCGGUCGCUCAAGGAGCUGUGUGCAGGCCGCAGUUCACACAUCCAUAUUAGAGAGAUUCAUUGGACAUAAUUUUGCAAGGUCAGAAAAAGCAAUUGCUCAGUACAUCACAGCAGCUCUUCGAUGCAAAAAGGAUGGCUCUUCUCAAGUCAGCAGCUAACCAAAUUGGCAACUUCAGGGUAGCUCAGUCAAAUAUGGCAACUGUGCAGUAAACAGUUUUAGUUGAGAAAUCAGCAAGCGCCAUGCUCAGUCCAACACGGUGGCUUAAGGGUGGCCGAGUUUGUCGCGACCAUCAGUUUGGAGACCUGCGUCACUGCGCAUGUCGCUACCAUGGCCCCCUGUGUCACCGCGUGCUUCGUCAACAGCCUCCUGCACAAGGAAAAGCAACAGGAGUAGAGGCGUCUGAGAUGCUCUGUUCUAGGGAGGUGGCUGAUUAUGUUAGUUAGUUUGUAAUACUUUGGCCGCAGUGUACUUAUAUAUCUUUUUCUGGACGGAGCAGAUCAGAGCUUAUGUCAGUACGAACUUUGAUUGUGAUGGUACUACAAUCUCUAUAAAAACACCAGCAAUCCAUUUUUACUGGUACUUACCUUUUAUACAA
Long non-coding RNA from Triticum urartu, 2659 nucleotides. RefSeq lists it as uncharacterized. The record is from RefSeq and is a predicted model, not a curated record. NCBI's taxonomy places the organism in Eukaryota, Viridiplantae, Streptophyta, Magnoliopsida, Poales, Poaceae.